RNAcentral lists this long non-coding RNA (231 nucleotides) under Lathyrus oleraceus (garden pea). Its description in RNAcentral is "Pisum sativum (pea) long non-coding RNA (PSAT_LNC006917)". The record is from RNAcentral. Lineage: Eukaryota; Viridiplantae; Streptophyta; Magnoliopsida; Fabales; Fabaceae.
AUGAUCUGAGUUGCUUCGAUUUGACCUCAAAGAAACUUAAUCUUCUUGCCUACAUUGAUAGGACUUCAGACAACCAAGGAUCCAAGAGAAUUGAUGAGAAAUGAGAGAGAUUUGAAGAGAUUUUUUUUUUUGGAAAAUACCUUCAAUAUUGUGCAGAAUCGAUUGCUCUUGCUUUGAUUCUUGCUUGACCUUGCUCAAGAAGCUUGCAGAAGUAGAUUAGAAUGGAACAAA